GACAGAGGGUGCUAGCGUUGUUCGGAAUUACUGGGCGUAAAGGGCGCGUAGGCGGCUUGUUUAGUCGGGUGUGAAAUCCCGGGGCUCAACCCCGGAACUGCAUUCGAUACUGGCAGGCUAGAGACCGGAAGAGGUGGGUGGAAUACCCAGUGUAGAGGUGAAAUUCGUAGAUAUUGGGUGGAACACCGGUGGCGAAGGCGGCUCACUGGUCCGGUUCUGACGCUGAGGCGCGAAAAGCGUGGGGAGCAAACAGG
This 254-nucleotide ribosomal RNA is filed under the name uncultured bacterium. Its description in RNAcentral is "partial 16S ribosomal RNA". It matches the Rfam family "Bacterial small subunit ribosomal RNA", at positions 524 to 776 of the family's 1533-position model. The record is from RNAcentral.